This 450-nucleotide ribosomal RNA is filed under the name uncultured bacterium. Its description in RNAcentral is "bacterial SSU rRNA". It matches the Rfam family "Bacterial small subunit ribosomal RNA", at positions 28 to 466 of the family's 1533-position model. The record is from RNAcentral.
GAUGAACGCUAGCUACAGGCUUAACACAUGCAAGUCGAGGGGCAUCGGGAAGAAAGCUUGCUUUCUUUGCCGGCGACCGGCGCACGGGUGAGUAACACGUAUCCAACCUGCCGAUAACUCGGGGAUAGCCUUUCGAAAGAAAGAUUAAUAUCCGAUAGUAUAUUAAAACCGCAUGGUUUUACUAUUAAAGAAUUUCGGUUAUCGAUGGGGAUGCGUUCCAUUAGUUUGUUGGCGGGGUAACGGCCCACCAAGACUACGAUGGAUAGGGGGUUCUGAGAGGAAGGUCCCCCCACAUUGGAACUGAGACACGGUCCAAACUCCUACGGGAGGCAGCAGUGAGGAAUAUUGGUCAAUGGGACGAGAGUCUGAACCAGCCAAGUAGCGUGAAGAAUGACUGCCCUAUGGGUUGUAAACUUCUUUUAUAUGGGAAUAAAGUAUUCCACGUGUGGG